RNAcentral lists this ribosomal RNA (3747 nucleotides) under Triticum aestivum (bread wheat). Its description in RNAcentral is "partial small subunit ribosomal RNA". The record is from RNAcentral. Lineage: Eukaryota; Viridiplantae; Streptophyta; Magnoliopsida; Poales; Poaceae.
AUGCAAGGCAACCUAACAACUUCCUCCAGUGGUGGUCUUGGGAGCAUGAUGGGAGGUGUAGUUGGAGUAGAUUCUGGAUGGAAGUUUUUCAAUGAAGGUUCUUCUCCAAUGGAGGAUGGUGUUACAGUCAUGUUCAUUAUGCAUCAACAUGCUCUUGUGGUUAGACUCCACACCAACAGUGACCACGUUGACCAUAUUGAGACCUUCUCUAGACCAGAAGGAGCACGAGAAGGGUCAAUUGCUUAUGCUGCAUGGAAAUACACAUCAUCCUCGAGUGAUUCAUCGCCAAUUGAUGAAGAGCCAGUAUCUUGGCUUGCGCUUGUCUGGGACCGUCGAGUGCAAGUGGCAAAAUUUGUUAAAUCAAAGGUGAUCAAACACAAGGACUGGAAUCUUGAUAGUGCCGCCGUUGGUGUUGCUUGGUUAAAUGAUCAGAUGUUAGCUGUCCUUAACUUGAGAGGGCAGCUCUGCCUGUUCUCAAAAGAUGGCAGUGAGCUUCGCAGGACUAUCUUUAUUCUUGAUGGUUUGGUCUUCGAUGACAGCAUACUGUACCAUACACAUUUUUCUAACAGGUUUGGUAACCCUGAGAGGCAUUUUAACAACUCGGUAGCAGUAAGAGGUGCUACAGUAUAUAUUCUUGGCCCAAGCUUUCUUACAGUUUCGCGACUUCUUCCAUGGAAAGAGUGGAUUGAAGCACUAAAGAGGGCUGGUGAUUGGAUGGGUGCAAUGGACAUGGCAAUGAAGCUUUAUGACGGUCACACACAGGGUGUUGUUGAUCUUCCGAGAACACUUGAUUCCAUAAGGGAAGCCAUAAUGCCGUAUCUAGUAGAGUUGCUGCUGUCAUAUAUAGGUUAUGUCUUUGAAUAUAUUUCAAUUGCAUUGUCAAACCAUACUGGAAAAGGGGGAGCAGCAGAUGGCCUGAUAGAUGCCGAUAGAUCACUGCUGACAGAGAGAGAAGAACAAUAUGCUCGUGUAGGAGGGGUUGCAGUCGAGUUUUGUGUUCACAUUGGACGGAAUGACAUCCUGUUUGAUACAGUCUUCUCUAAGUUUGUUGCUGCACAAAGUGGAGGCAUGUUUCUGGAGGUACUAGAGCCAUAUAUGUUGAAAGAUAUGCUUGGUUCUUUACCACCUGAGAUCAUGCAAGCUCUAGUAGAGCAUUAUAGUGGCAAAGGAUGGUUGCAGCGAGUCGAACAAUGCAUUCUUCAUAUGGAUAUUUCAUCAUUGGAUUUUAAUCAGGUAGCCAGACUCUGUCGUGAGCAUGGGUUAUAUGGUGCUCUAAUAUAUUUAUUUAACCAAGGCUUGAGUGAUUUCCGUACACCUCUAGAGGAACUUCUAUCUGUUAUCCAGAACGCUACUAGAAAAGAUGCUACUUGCUACAGAAUGCUUGUUUAUCUGAAGUAUUGCUUCCAGGGCCUAGCAUUUCCUCCAGGGCAUGGAAUAAUUCCCCGAGCGCAGCUUCAUUCAGUGAGAGAAGAACUUCUGCAAUUCAUGCUUGAAGAGUCUAAAAUGUACACUUCUGAAGUAUUUAAGGGUUUCAGUUCUUCUUCCCGAAAAUGCCCAAACAUGUGCUAUCUACUAUGGAUGGAUACGGAAGCUACUCUGGAAGUUGUCAAGUGUGCUUUUGCACAAGAGAAUUUUGAAUCUACUUCUAGUACUCCUGAUGCAUCUGUGUCCAAGGAUGAAGAUGAUACCAAUAUUGAAAGAGAGAGUCAAAAUAUCUUAUUACAAGGUGUAGUCGACACCAUCAUUCAUAUUGUUGGUUUGGAAAACGAGGCAAUCCAUUCCAUUGUUGUGGGUACUGCUGAGUCAGAGGAAUCAGAACUUUGGCCUACAGUGAAUGAUUUUGGUUAUAUAAUUGAAUUUGUGUCCUUUUUUAUUUCCAAUAAAAGGGCAAAGUCAUCUCAAAGAGUUCUUAAGCACAUUCUUAAAUACCUCACGUCAUCCAGUACUCCAUCAUAUGAUGAUAAAAAGAUGCCAACGCAGAAAGAAGUUCUUCAGCUCUUCAAUGUGGUUCCUCAAACUGACUGGAAUUAUGAUUAUGUGUUGCAUCUUUGUUUAGAUGCCCAUUUUCAUCAGGCAUGUGGCAGGAUAUAUGCAGCCAGAAAUCAAAAUUUGUCUGCUUUGGAUAGUUACAUGAAGGAUAUAGUGCAACCAUACCACGCUUUUAUCUUCAUCAGUAAAAAGUUAUUUCAGUUGGCAGGCGAUGAAGCUUUGUCGUUUCGUUCUACAGUAAUAUCUCGUUUUGCCGAGCUAGUCAAUCUAAGCAGGGAGUGCGCAUUUGUCUUGUUCCUUGAUCAUUUUCAAAAUCAGAGCCAGCAAAUAUUGUCAAAGCUUCCUUCUGACAGCCGCAGCCACUUUCUUUUCUUGAAAACUGCAAUGGAAGUACACUUGUCAGGCAAACUUGACUUCAGUGCACUAACUGGCAAUGAAAUUGUUGAACGCCUGUACUUCUCUGGUGAACUCGAAGAUUAUCUGCAGAGAUUAUCAAAUUUCCCAAAGUUUGACUGCAAUCUUGUUUCUAUGAUUGAUGAGUUAUUUGAGCCUUAUCUGAAGCUUCUGUGUCAGUAUGAACCAAGGUCAGUCCUGAAGUUUCUGGAGACUUUUGAUAGCUACAGAUUGGAAGGGUGUUUGCAGUUAUGUCUAGAUUAUGGAGUUACAGAUGCUGCUGCAUUUCUGCAAGAGAGGGCUGGUGAUGCUGAGAGUGCACUGGCACUUGUUCUAGCUGGACUAGAUGAGAAAAUUAGCCAGUUUAUCACUUCAGUGGAGAAUGCGUUUUCUCAGAUAUCCUCAAAGGGUAGCUCUGAAAUUGAGCAACCAGCCAUUGUUCUAAAAACGAACGAGGCUCAUCCGGUGCUUGAUGCGUUACGUUCCUCCAUUGGAUUGUGUCAAAGGAAUUCACAGUACUCAGACCCAGAGAAGUCCCAAUCACUUUGGUUUCAACUGCUUGACUCUUUCUCAGAACCACUGCAAAAGUUGUAUGGAAGCAAGGAUGUAAAUGGAAAAGGUUGUUGGUCUGAACGGGAGGAAACAACAAACGGACAUCCAACAGGCAAAGUAUUCUCACAACAGAUGGUGAUUUCAGCUUAUCAAAGGUGUUUGAAUACUCUGCGGAGAGUAUUCUCACAAUUCGUUGGAGAGAUAAUUGAGGCAAUGGCUGGGUAUAUACCCCUACUAGCAAUUAUGUCAAAGCUUUUAUCUGACAAUGGGAGUCAAGAAUUUGGUGAUUUUAAACUUGUCAUACAUAGAAUGCUGUCUAUGUAUCUUCAUCAAAAAAGAAUACUGGAAACAGCUAAGUCUGUUAUCGAGGAUGAUUCGUUCUAUACCUUGAGCUCAUUAAAGAGAGGGGUUUGUCAUGGAUUUGCUCCACAUACUUUUGUCUGUUGUGUAUGCAACUUCUCACUUUCCAAAGAAGGUGUUUCAGCAGUUCGAGUGUUCAGUUGUGGACAUGCAACACAUCUUCACUGUGAGUCUGAACAAAGCAAAUCAUCCAGUAAGGAUUUUCAAGACGGAUGUCCAGUUUGUCUCUCGGCGAGUGACACACAAGCCCGGAACAGAUCACCUGUAAUAUCUGAGAAUGGGCUACCCAGGUACCCCAUGGUUGAAAAUGAAGUACCAUAUGGCAUCCAUCGUAAUCACGAGACAGAUCAUGUUGAGAGAUCUCGCAGGCUUCAGCAGAUGUCACGGUUUGAAAUACUGAAAAGUCUCCAGAAAGCUCAGAAGUCUUCGUAUUUAAACUGUACCUCCGUUUGA